This 261-nucleotide ribosomal RNA is filed under the name uncultured bacterium. Its description in RNAcentral is "partial 16S ribosomal RNA". It matches the Rfam family "Bacterial small subunit ribosomal RNA", at positions 92 to 354 of the family's 1533-position model. The record is from RNAcentral.
UGAGUGGCGACGGGUGAGUAACGCGUGGGCAACCUGCCCUGGUACAGGGGGACAACACUUAGAAAUAGGUGCUAAUACCGCAUAACGGGGGGAGCCGCAUGGCACCCCCCUGAAAACUCCGGUGGUACAGGAUGGGCCCGCGUCUGAUUAGCUGGUUGGCAGGGUAACGGCCUACCAAGGCGACGAUCAGUAGCCGGCCUGAGAGGGCGGACGGCCACACUGGGACUGAGACACGGCCCAGACUCCUACGGGAGGCAGCAG